Xenia sp. Carnegie-2017 is the source of this 569-nucleotide long non-coding RNA. RefSeq lists it as uncharacterized. The transcript is spliced from 2 exons. The record is from RefSeq and is a predicted model, not a curated record. NCBI's taxonomy places the organism in Eukaryota, Metazoa, Cnidaria, Anthozoa, Malacalcyonacea, Xeniidae.
CAAAAAACGGCAGCAACGAAUGUGGAUUGAAUGUCACUGAUGCAUUUUUCGAUAUGGAUGUAAUAUAGGAUGUUUACACACUUUUUCUUCUAUCAUAAGCGGAUAAUCAAUUGACGAAUAUGGUACAUAUGAAUUGCGGAUAGCGUACGUUUCUGCGGAUAAUGCCGAAUCUCAACGCGGGACAGAUUUUCCAUGUGUGAAAAACGAGCUACUCUGAGGCAAAACUCAGAAUCCUACGUGCAAGCAAUGAUGAAAUUCACGACAAAAAUAUUUAAAUAUCUUUCGACACCACGCAGUUACAUAAAAUUGAUGCUUGGCUGGAGUGAAAGGCAAGUAGAAGGCGGUUAGUGGGCGACCAAAAGGUCGGUUAGUCAAGGUCGACGACUGAGGUCGACUAAGAAAACUAAGACUUCUCUUUCUUUAUUGACUUCCGGGAAGAAUUUUUUCAUUGUAUAUUAAUAAAGUGCUAUGCAAAUGUAUAUGAGUAUUGAUAAGUAUUCUAAGCGCUAAAGGAAUGCGGUAAUAUGGUAGACUUCCAUAGAAAGAUUACAUAAUUUUUAUGAAUAUUA